This 468-nucleotide ribosomal RNA is filed under the name uncultured bacterium. Its description in RNAcentral is "partial 16S ribosomal RNA". It matches the Rfam family "Bacterial small subunit ribosomal RNA", at positions 28 to 507 of the family's 1533-position model. The record is from RNAcentral.
GACGAACGCUGGCGGCGUGCUUAACACAUGCAAGUCGAACGGAAAGGCCCUGCUUUUGUGGGGUGCUCGAGUGGCGAACGGGUGAGUAACACGUGAGUAACCUGCCCUUGACUUUGGGAUAACUUCAGGAAACUGGGGCUAAUACCGGAUAGGAGCUCUUGCUGCAUGGUGGGGGUUGGAAAGUUUCGGCGGUUGGGGAUGGACUCGCGGCUUAUCAGCUUGUUGGUGGGGUAGUGGCUUACCAAGGCUUUGACGGGUAGCCGGCCUGAGAGGGUGACCGGCCACAUUGGGACUGAGAUACGGCCCAGACUGCUACGGGAGGCAGCAGUGGGGAAUAUUGCACAAUGGGCGGAAGCCUGAUGCAGCAACGCCGCGUGCGGGAUGACGGCCUUCGGGUUGUAAACCGCUUUCGCCUGUGACGAAGCGUGAGUGACGGUAAUGGGUAAAGAAGCACCGGCUAACUACGUG